Bombus pyrosoma is the source of this 1895-nucleotide long non-coding RNA. RefSeq lists it as uncharacterized. The transcript is spliced from 2 exons. Lineage: Eukaryota; Metazoa; Arthropoda; Insecta; Hymenoptera; Apidae. The record is from RefSeq and is a predicted model, not a curated record.
UCCUAUUAGACAAGGAGCGCACUACCGUGCGAAAAGGACAGACAUACGUGACGUCACAGACAAGAAAAGUUAUAUUGUGCGACAAGGAUAGACGUACUUCUCCUUCUAAUUUCACGGUUAUUUGUUAAUUACGCUUUUCCCUGGUAAAAUUCAUGAAUUUUCACAUUCUGAACCGUCUAGGAAAUUCGUUUGAUGUCCAGUCUUUGUCCCGCGGUUCUAAAAUCGUCUAAAUUUUUCGCAAAAAAUGCUGUGAUCGAUGAAUAUUCCGUAGGAUUGGAGAGAGAAGUAUAUCUGUCCUCGUCGCGCAAUAUAGUGCUCCUUGUCGCACUAACAGCCACUGAUACUUGCUUGUACGUUCUGCGUUCUUGUUAACGUUUUUCGAUUUUUAACGAAAAGUUGUGCUCUCGCUAGAUGACUGCAGUUUCAGUAGCGUGUUUAUCACUUUGCCUACCCGAUGCAUAACCUAACCUAUACUCACGUUCGAUUACGAUCGAUUUCAAUUACUUGAUAUUUUGUUGCUUCUAUUAAUUUAUAUCGGCGAUUUAUUCAAUUAAACGUCAACCAGUUACAGCUACCUUUGAAGGUUAAUUGGCGGCUACUACCAGCAGCGACAAGUUAAACAAUCGUAAACAAUGGUAUCACAGGGAUUUAUACGAUAUUUCAUUAGAAUAGCAAGUCGUUUCUUCACAAACAUCUAGGAAAUUUAAAUUGUACCAUUGAACGUAUUUAUAGUGGGUGGAGACGAUCGUAGUACAACUGGGUAGAAAAUGAUCCUACGUGAAGAAAAUAAGCCGAAGAUACAGAAUAAAAUUUUGUCGUACGAAACAAAUGUUAUAGACUGUAGCAGAGAAAAUAUUUGGCAAGCUUUUCGCUCGUUCGUUCUACGUACAAGCGUAGAUUCGCAAGCAGGUCGAGAGAUUGCAGCUGACGUGGGUCGUGACGUGGAUCGACGAAUAGGAAAAUAAUUGGAAAAGCGUAGCCGCGUAUUCUCGCAACUUGCUCGUGCGUACGAGACGAACACGUGACCCUUUAUGUUAAUACGUCUACGAUGAUAAAGAAACUUCUGGUCGUUAAUUUAAUGGCGCGAUACGCAUAGUUCGGGCGAACAUGACCAUGUCGAAUCGUAAAUCUUGUUAGCCAGUCGUAGCGAAAUUCCAAGCGUAUGAAUAUUUAAUUUCGCGUACGUUCAUUGCAACGGAAGCAAUCUGUAGCACUGGACUGGAUGCUCCUGUUGCUUAGGCGAACGCAGGAGAAACGAACGGAGAAUAGAAUGCAAUUCACAGGCAAAACUGAUUUUUACGGUUGCACUUGUUUUAACGUAUGUGCGAGGAUGAAAAACAGUAGUAGAAACUGUAGCAAGAACGUUCUAAGGUUCUUUCUAAACUCUGCACGGUUAAUUGAAUUCCGAAACUUCUCUAAUUAACUACAAUUAAUCGUAUUUUCGAGCAAUAAUUUAUUAAUAAUCAAUACGAAGAAAAACAUAAAUUUUCUAAAUAUUAAUGUUGAAAUACUUACUCCAAGAAAAACUCUGUACCUUAUCUUUUGUAUAUCCAUGACCUGUUUCGAAGAGAAUAGAAUGUAGUGAACAAAAUUCAAAAUAAAGAGAGGUGCAUAUUGUUGUGCCCUUAAAUAUGAAUUAUGUAUUGGGUUACAAGGUCUAGAAACAAAAGAGCUAUAAGUAGAUUUCUAUUGCUGUUUCUUGUAGCCUUCAGCUAGAGCUACACACCAAGGCUAACUUCUUGCUAAUGUCCUUUGCUACAAAUAUAUGAACGUGCUCCCUAUCAUAGCUUCUUCUAUUGUAUUGCAACAUUGCAAGAGCUGCAUCAAGCAAGAUCUGCGUCAGCAUACACUAUGUACCUAUGCUUAUUUCAAUAUAUUUUUCUAUUACAAAUUCA